Molecule: small nucleolar RNA, 78 nt
Filed under: Acanthochromis polyacanthus (spiny chromis)
Lineage: Eukaryota; Metazoa; Chordata; Actinopteri; Pomacentridae
Description: Small nucleolar RNA SNORD111 (ENSAPOG00000020594.1)
Source: RNAcentral
GCUGAAGAAGUGAUGAGCUUCAUGUCUCUUCUCUGACAAAACACUAAUGAGGAGAACUUUCACAACUCUGAUCUCAGC